This 294-nucleotide ribosomal RNA is filed under the name uncultured bacterium. RNAcentral describes it as "partial 16S ribosomal RNA". It matches the Rfam family "Bacterial small subunit ribosomal RNA", at positions 28 to 303 of the family's 1533-position model. The record is from RNAcentral.
GACGAACGCUGGCGGCGUGCUUAACACAUGCAAGUCGGACGAGGACGAGGAGCUUGCUCUUCGAUCCGAGUGGCGAACGGGUGAGUAACACGUGACCAACCUGUCCUAGGGUGAGGGACAACCUGGGGAAACCCGGGCUAAUACCGCAUGAUGUCUCGAGGUCGCAAUGGCUUUGAGAUCAAAGAGGGCCUCUGCUUGCAAGCUCUCGCCCAGGGGAGGGGGUCGCGGCGUAUCAGCUAGUUGGUAGGUAACGGCCUACCAAGGCUACGACGCGUAGCGGGUCUGAGAGGACGA